UAUGUUUUCUUUUCUUUUCUCUAGUAAGAGCUCUGCUAGGGCACAAAGAUUCUCUCCUCUUCGAGCUAGCUAAGAAUAUUCUACAUCCAGCUCCCCCGACUAGUUCUUGAAGCGGUGGUGCUCUUUAGUUGCAGACUUGUUGUGUUUGCUAGCAUCUAAAAAGUGUCUGUUAUUGUCUUGCUUUCUCUUUUGCAAUGAUCACCUUAAUGGUGGGAGCAGAUGGGAGAAAUGCUGAAGGUGGAUCUGAUGGUGACAGCGGUGUUGUUUAGUUGAACUUGUUAUUUGUGGCUCUUAGGAGUAGUUUUUUUGGGUCCUAAUGCCUUUUUGUAAUUCCUUACUCUAUGAGCAACCUUUUGUAAACUAUUACACUCUUAGUUUAUGUUUGAUUAUGACA
Molecule: long non-coding RNA, 394 nt
Organism: Vigna unguiculata (cowpea)
Lineage: Eukaryota; Viridiplantae; Streptophyta; Magnoliopsida; Fabales; Fabaceae
Source: RefSeq, a predicted model, not a curated record